CGUCGCUCUGUGUCCACCUCCCCACCAGGGAUGGGGGAUGCUGGGCGGAUACUGGUCUCCCGUGCCCCUUUGCGCGCGCGGAUGGCUAAAAUAGGAUCCCUCGGCGACGCAGGUCAUGGCCAUUGGUGGUUGAUCAGUCGACUCGUGUGUGGCCGUGCUCUCCUAUGCAUCGCUUGUGAGGCCAUCCGAACGUACCCAAUGGCGCCUGUCGCUAGCAUCU
Molecule: unclassified non-coding RNA, 220 nt
Filed under: Pinguicula conzattii
Lineage: Eukaryota; Viridiplantae; Streptophyta; Magnoliopsida; Lamiales; Lentibulariaceae
Description: ITS2
Source: RNAcentral